Homo sapiens (human) is the source of this 1718-nucleotide long non-coding RNA. Ensembl annotates it as serpin family A member 13, pseudogene. Its record names the gene SERPINA13P. The record is from Ensembl. NCBI's taxonomy places the organism in Eukaryota, Metazoa, Chordata, Mammalia, Primates, Hominidae.
GUCCGCUGCCACUCCUGGGGCUCUCUGUGCCAGGUCCUGGGCUGAGUGUGCUCCGUGCAUGAUUGCUUUGAAUUUCUGUAACCUUGUGAUGUGGGGAUUCUUAGCAGCAUGCCACAGAGUGGAAGCCAAGGUCCUGAGAGGCAAGGCCACCUGCCUAAGGUGCUGGGCUUAUAUGAGCCCAGCCCUGGACUCCUCCCUGUACCAUGAGUCACCUCCUGGCCCUCCCCUCCUCACAGCUUCCUACCAAGGACCCCAGAGGAUGGAGGCCUCUCGGUGGUGGCUGCUGGUCACUGUGCUCAUGGCUGGGGCUCAUUGUGUGGCCCUGGUUGACCAAGAAGCUUCUGAUCUCAUCCAUUCUGGCCCCCAGGACAGCAGCCCUGGGCCUGCCCUGCCCUGCCACAAAAUCUCUGUGAGCAACAUAGACUUUGCCUUCAAGCUCUACAGACAGUUGGCUUUGAACGCCCCCGGGGAGAACAUUCUCUUCUCCCCAGUGAGCAUCUCCCUGGCCUUGGCCAUGCUUUCUUGGGGGGCCCCAGUGGCCAGCAGGACCCAACUCCUGGAGGGCCUGGGGUUCACCCUCACCGUGGUGCCUGAGGAGGAGAUCCAGGAAGGCUUCUGGGAUCUGCUGAUCAGGCUCCGUGGGCAGGGUCCCCGGCUCCUCCUGACCAUGGACCAGCGCAGGUUCAGCGGCCUGGGCGCGAGGGCCAACCAGAGCCUAGAGGAGGCCCAAAAACACAUUGACGAAUAUACAGAGCAGCAGACCCAGGGGAAGCUCGGGGCCUGGGAGAAGGACCUCGGCAGUGAAACCACAGCGGUUCUGGUGAAUCACAUGCUCCUCAGAGCUGAGUGGAUGAAGCCCUUUGACUCACGUGCCACCAGCCCAAAGGAGUUCUUUGUAGAUGAGCACAGCGCUGUGUGGGUGCCCAUGAUGAAGGAGAAGGCCAGCCACCGCUUCCUGCACGACCGUGAGCUGCAAUGCUCUGUGCUGCGGAUGGACCACGCUGGGAACACCACCACCUUCUUCAUCUUCCCCAACAGGGGCAAGAUGAGGCAGCUGGAAGAUGCCCUGCUGCCUGAAACACUGAUUAAGUGGGACAGUCUGCUCAGGACCAGAGAACUCGAUUUCCACUUCCCCAAAUUUUCCAUUUCUAGAACCUGCAGACUGGAGAUGCUCCUCCCAUGAGUGACUGUGGGUGGAGGCUUCCCUGGGCAGCCUGGACUGAACAUUUCUAAAGUCACUCAUAAGGCCAUGAUGACGCUGGAUGAGAGGGGCUCUGAAGCUGCUGCAGCCACCAGCAUUCAGCUCACCCCUGGGCCUCGCCCAGACCUUGACUUCCCACCCACUCUGGGCACUGAGUUCAGUCGGCCCUUCCUGGUGAUGACUUUCCACACGGAAACAGGAAGCAUGCUUUUUCUGGAGAAGAUUGUAAACCCACUGGGAUAACGCCCCCUCAGACAUGCUGGGUGACUCAGAGAGAACAGAAUGGCCUACACAGCAGGGAGCUUCUAUUACAGCCUCAAGUUUAAGGAAAAGUUGCAUAUACCUGAGUUCUUUUGCUUGGUUUCCACAGGAACCAAGUGGGUAAGGAUAGUAAUGGUGAUCAAGGCUGUUCUCCCUGCACACAGGCAGUAAUUACCAUUGAGCAAACACCUACUAUGUACCAAAUGCUUUCUAUCUCUUAUCUCAUUUUAAAAUGAAUUACAACAACAAUCCAACA